This 253-nucleotide ribosomal RNA is filed under the name uncultured bacterium. RNAcentral's name for it is "partial 16S ribosomal RNA". It matches the Rfam family "Bacterial small subunit ribosomal RNA", at positions 524 to 776 of the family's 1533-position model. The record is from RNAcentral.
UACGUAGGGGGCAAGCGUUGUCCGGAAUCAUUGGGCGUAAAGAGCGUGUAGGCGGCCCGGUAAGUCUGUUGUGAAAGUCCAUGGCUCAACCCUGGAAUGCCGAUGGAUACUGCCGGGCUAGAGUUCGGAAGAGGCGAGUGGAAUUCCUGGUGUAGCGGUGGAAUGCGCAGAUAUCAGGAGGAACACCUAUAGCGAAGGCAGCUCGCUGGGACGACACUGACGCUGAGACGCGAAAGCGUGGGGAGCGAACAGG